UGGGGAAUAUUGGACAAUGGGCGCAAGCCUGAUCCAGCCAUGCCGCGUGAGUGAUGAAGGCCCUAGGGUUGUAAAGCUCUUUCGCCAGGGACGAUAAUGACGGUACCUGGAUAAGAAGCCCCGGCUAACUUCGUGCCAGCAGCCGCGGUAAUACGAAGGGGGCUAGCGUUGUUCGGAAUCACUGGGCGUAAAGCGCACGUAGGCGGAUCUUUAAGUCAGGGGUGAAAUCCCGAGGCUCAACCUCGGAACUGCCUUUGAUACUGGAGGUCCCGAGUCCGGGAGAGGUGAGUGGAACUGCGAGUGUAGAGGUGAAAUUCGUAGAUAUUCGCAAGAACACCAGUGGCGAAGGCGGCUCACUGGCCCGGUACUGACGCUGAGGUGCGAAAAGCGUGGGGAGCAAAACAGGAUUAGAUACCCUGGUAGUCCACGCCGUAAACUAUGGAUGCUAGCCGUUGGGCAGCUUGCUGUUCAGUGGCGCAGCUAACGCUUUAAGCAUCCCGCCUGGGGAGUACGGUCGCAAGAUUAAAACUCAAAUGAAUUGACGGGGUC
Molecule: ribosomal RNA, 549 nt
Filed under: uncultured bacterium
Lineage: Bacteria
Description: partial 16S ribosomal RNA
Rfam family: Bacterial small subunit ribosomal RNA
Source: RNAcentral